This 502-nucleotide ribosomal RNA is filed under the name uncultured bacterium. RNAcentral's name for it is "partial 16S ribosomal RNA". It matches the Rfam family "Bacterial small subunit ribosomal RNA", at positions 28 to 523 of the family's 1533-position model. The record is from RNAcentral.
GAUGAACGCUAGCGGCAGGCCUAACACAUGCAAGUCGAGGGGCAGCACAGAAACAGCAAUGUUUUGGUGGCGACCGGCGGACGGGCGCGUAACGCGUAUGCAACCUACCUUUAACAGGGGGAUAACGGAGAGAAAUUUCCACUAAUACCCCAUAACAUCGAUCAAGGCAUCUUGAUUGGUUGAAAACUCCGGUGGUUAAAGAUGGGCAUGCGUUGUAUUAGGUAGUUGGUGAGGUAAUGGCUCACCAAGCCUACGAUACAUAGGGGGACUGAGAGGUUAGCCACCCACACAGGUACUGAGACACGGACCAGACUCCUACGGGAGGCAGCAGUGAGGAAUAUUGGUCAAUGGGGGCAACCCUGAACCAGCCAUGCCGCGUGCAGGAAGACGGCUCUAUGAGUUGUAAACUGCUUUUAAACAGGGAUAAAGCACAGUAUGUAUACUGUGUUGAAGGUACUGUAAGAAUAAGGAUCGGCUAACUCCGUGCCAGCCGCCGCCGUAA